RNAcentral lists this non-coding RNA (110 nucleotides) under human gut metagenome. RNAcentral's name for it is "FMN riboswitch (RFN element)". It matches the Rfam family "FMN riboswitch aptamer (RFN element)". From Rfam's summary of the family: The RFN element is a highly conserved domain that is found frequently in the 5'-untranslated regions of prokaryotic mRNAs that encode for flavin mononucleotide (FMN) biosynthesis and transport proteins. The record is from RNAcentral.
AUCUUCAGGGCAGGGUGAAAUUCCCGAUCGGCGGUAUAGUCCGCGAGCCGGCAACGGCAGGAUUUGGUGCAAUUCCAAAACCGACAGUAUAGUCUGGAUGGAAGAAGAUG